This is a long non-coding RNA of Carassius auratus (goldfish), 1581 nucleotides long. Lineage: Eukaryota; Metazoa; Chordata; Actinopteri; Cypriniformes; Cyprinidae. The record is from Ensembl.
UACUUGCAUUGACUUCCCCCCCCCAGCCAGUGAAACCAGACUGAAAUUCCUAAAGGGGAAGGGCUAUAAACCUUUGUCUUCACAGAAAGUCCUUUGCCAGAGAAUGGCAAAGAAACCCUUUUUAUACAUUAUAUAUGGACCAGAAUGAACUCAAAAAAGACUUAUGAAUGAAUCAUUCCAUUGCUUAACUCCAUAUUCAUUUACGUGUAACCCACACAUUUGACUAUCAUGUAUAAUCACUUAUUGUGUAUGUCUUUUGAUAACUAUAGGAUACCUAGUCAUGUCUAGUAUUCAAAUAAUCGCAUUUUCUUGCUUGAUAUUGUCCUGACAAUCAUUUAUUUGUAAAAUAUAUCAUAAUCAUGUUAUAGGAAUCAUGUCCAACAAUAGACCCUGUGAGGCAAAGAACCACAUGCUUGGUAAGAUAAACAAAUGAUUUAUGAUACCCACCCCAAGAACAUUCUGAUUGGUCAAGGCAACAUUUGAGGGGUGGCCAACAGGAAGUUUUAAAUACUUUGGACACGAUGUAAUUUCGCUUUAGUCAUGCCUGCUUUUAGUCGUCGUUUUAUCUGCUUUUAGUUCUAGUCUAGCUGCUGCUAUUAGCCAUGUCGGCUUUUAGUCUCCAGCCUUGCUCGUGCUAUCAGUCAUGCCUGCUCUUAGCUUUUAGUUGUGCUUGCUACCUAGCUUUAGCUUGUAGCAUCUAGCCAUGCGGUUAGUCAUCAUUGUUCUUUGAGCGCGGUUCCAGCGUGCCUGCCUGCUGCUACUAUGCUACUAUGAGAAGGAACACAACCUAGUCUCGUCAAACUUUAUUUCUUUUCUUUUCCGUUUGAAAGUUUCGUGUUCUGAGUUAAGUUUUGUAACGUCCAUUCAACUUCAACCAGCGAACACGACUCUGCACUUUCAGCCAACGCCCAACAACCACGGGCUUCCCAAGACGUCACUUCAGAGACUGAACUUCCAGCCAAUCAACGACCUCGGGAUAGCCCUUUCACCGAGGCUCCUUCUUCACAGGAGAUGCAAGUAACUUUACCUCCAGACUGUGACCUUUACUGGUGUAUCUAAUAUAAUUUUAACCUCAUUGAGGAACUCAAUGCGAGCGCUAAUUACGUGAUUGAUGGUUGUUCAUGUUUAUGCAAUUUAACGUAUUGCUGUUAACUUGGGAUUCCAUAUUUCCAUUCUCUUAAACUCAUCUUUCCCUAACUUUCGACCUUCCUGCAACUUGUGUGAAUGUGUGUGUGCGUGCGUUUAUGUGUUAGAUUAGUUUAUAUGUCUUAGAUUUAUCUAAUAAAGCCUUAUUCAUAUUGAAAAGAGAAGUAUCUUGUGUUUUGUGCUUACAAGUUAAUGUCUUAAACUGCCGAUCUUGUUACUGUGCUAAUUGAUAGUGUUUUCACUAUAGUUUGGAUAUUAGUAUCCAGCGCAGAUUUGAUGUUAAACGGCUCGUUCACUGAACCGCAGGCGCAUCUCCGUGAACAGCCGUGAAACAGUGAUUCUGUUCAAAUUCCCUUUAAAAUCUUAAAUGAUUCCCUUUGAGCUAAAUUGACCUGUUUCCCUUACAGCGUGUUUACAUAGAAAAACAAUGGAAAA